Molecule: ribosomal RNA, 306 nt
Filed under: Triticum aestivum (bread wheat)
Lineage: Eukaryota; Viridiplantae; Streptophyta; Magnoliopsida; Poales; Poaceae
Description: partial small subunit ribosomal RNA
Source: RNAcentral
UAAUUAAGUAGACUUUAUGAUAGUAAAGACACUUUAUGUGGGGCGUUACCAGUAACGCCCCGGACUUAACGCACCUUAAACCCUCUCCUACGUGGGCUGGCUGGGGUCCUGGCGCACUCUAUAUAAGCCACCCCCCUCCACAGGUAGAAGGGUUCGGCACUCUGUAACUCAUAUACACAUAAUCCACUCGACCGCCUCCGGGCUCCGAGACGUAGGGCUUUUACUUCCUCCGAGAAGGGCCUGAACUCGUACAUCUCUUGUGUUUACAACCUCUCCAUAGCUAGGACCUUGCCUCUCCAUACCUAC